Long non-coding RNA from Vollenhovia emeryi, 228 nucleotides. RefSeq lists it as uncharacterized. NCBI's taxonomy places the organism in Eukaryota, Metazoa, Arthropoda, Insecta, Hymenoptera, Formicidae. The transcript has 3 exons. The record is from RefSeq and is a predicted model, not a curated record.
GUCCCGGGGAAUUGUCGAUCACACAUGACUCUGAAAAUUACAGAAACGCAUCAACCUGUUGCGAGUGUUUGCUAAAAUGGAUACAUUACGGAGGAGUAAACACAAAAAUAAUGUUCAAGAUGUCAUUGCUAAGCAAUUCUUCUAUAUCAAAAUUAAUACGAGGAGGACUAAUACUCACCUCCGAUGUGCUGUCCGUCUAUCAGUGACAGGAUCGACACCAACACAAAC